This is a long non-coding RNA of Eupeodes corollae, 1436 nucleotides long. RefSeq lists it as uncharacterized. NCBI's taxonomy places the organism in Eukaryota, Metazoa, Arthropoda, Insecta, Diptera, Syrphidae. The record is from RefSeq and is a predicted model, not a curated record. The transcript has 3 exons.
UUUUGUUUUUUAGUAAAAAAUUACACUGCUCAACAAGACUGGCGAACGAAUCGCUCUAUUCUGAUGGCUUAUAUCCUCAAUGUUAACCCUGUAGGAAUGAGAAGGCCGAUUACAGCGAAGGGAUCGAUGUCGCAGAAGUCUGAAAAGCUUCGCUUUGCAACCUUUUUGACAUGCUUCAUUGGACGAGAUGGAUAUACAAGUCGAGAGUUGUUAUAAAGUCGAGGAAUCUCUUUACUUGGUGGUCAUUCAUAGCCAAGCCAAAUACAAAUACAAGUUGAAUUAAUUGCAGCGUGUGAUAGCAGUAGCACAUUCACGUAAUGUGCCACCAUCUUUGCAAUGCAAAGCACUUCUUUCAGCUACGGAUAGCCGAAAGAUCGCAAUGUAUGCAAGUCCUUCCUCAUCAUGUGAACAAUAGUUAAUUUAAUCUACAGUCAGUUUUUCAAGACAGUACCUACCACCGAGGAUUGGACAAUUGAUCUGAUUCACUAUGUUCUUUUUUGCAGAAAUGCACAUUUGAAUAUCUUCCUUUUACAUUUUUUGGCGAACUCUGUGAUGUAGUUGGUCUCUGGAAUUCAAUUGAAAUACCUUCCUUCAUUCAUGAUUUAUUGCUUUCAAUGCGUCAAUAUCUUUAAUUCAAUUCUGCCUCUUGUUACCAACGAAGAAGGAGACAAGUUCGGAAAAUCUGCUGGCGAUGGUAUUUUGCUGGACGAAGAAAAAACGUCGCCUUUUUCUCUUUAUCAGUUCUUUUUGAGAAUGCCAGAUUCUGAAGUCGAAAUUCUUCUCAAGUCGUUCACGUUGUUCAAGUAGUUUUAUCCCACUCUAAGAAAUUGCAUUUCUCAUGGAACAACACAAAAAAUCACCAGAGAAGAGAAAAGCACAAACGAUUCUAGCUGAAGAUAUGACGCUUCUAGUCCAUUGAGGUGAUUUUUAAUAAACAAAUAAAUCACUUCUUUUAGCUUUUUAAGUUUUUCUCUUUCAGAGGCGGGUCUAAAACAAGCCGAAAAAGUCACUGAAGCGCUCAACAAGUCAAAUGUUGAAGGACUAGGUGAACUGAACUACAACUAAAUCCUAUCGUUAAGAUUUUUCCAGAGCCUGGACUAUCCAUUCUUGAUAUGGCACUAAAAGCUUAAUGUUUUACAACAGAGACUGAUACGAUGAGAAUCAUCACAGCUGGGGGUUCUAUAUCAAGCAAUAGCGAACUCAAAACUUCGCAGUAACAUCACACUAACUCAUCACCACAAACAUCAGAUACCAUUUAUAUUUAUUAGUUCAAAAUGUUAAAUGUCUCCUUUUUGUUGGCAAGGAUGAUCAUAUGAAUAAAAACAAUUUGUUUAGCUUAUAUCCAUAUUCAAUUUUACAUUAAUUAAAAGUCAUUAAUAAUAAUAUUGUAUUCUUUUUUGUGAUAAAAAUAAAUAAUUUGAAUCAUUAAACAUGUA